AGAGUUUGAUCCUGGCUCAGAACGAACGCUGGCGGCGUGCCUAACACAUGCAAGUCGUACGAGAAAAUCCGCUUCGGCGGGUGAGUAGAGUGGCGCACGGGUGAGUAACGCGUGGAUAAUCUGCCUUUAAGCUGGGAAUAACUCACCGAAAGGUGGGCUAAUACCCGAUAAUGCUAUGGGACUUCGGUUUUAUAGCCAAAGAGAGCCUCUACAUGUAAGCCUUCACUUAAAGAUGAGUCCGCGUACCAUUAGCUAGUUGGUAGGGUAAUGGCCUACCAAGGCGACGAUGGUUAGCUGGUCUGAGAGGAUGAUCAGCCACACUGGAACUGAGACACGGUCCAGACUCCUACGGGAGGCAGCAGUGAGGAAUAUUGCGCAAUGGGGGCAACCCUGACGCAGCAACGCCGCGUGAGUGAGGAAGGUCUUCGGAUCGUAAAGCUCUGUCGGGUGGGAAGAAGUGUGCAUAGGUUAAUAGCUUGUGCACUUGACGGUACCGCCAAAGGAAGCACCGGCUAACUCCGUGCCAGCAGCCGCGGUAAUACGGGGGGUGCGAGCGUUGUUCGGAAUCAUUGGGCGUAAAGAGCGUGUAGGCGGCUAGGCAAGUCAGAUGUGAAAUCCCUGGGCUUAACCCAGGAAGUGCAUUUGAAACUGCUUAGCUUGAGUAAGGAAGAGGGAAGUGGAAUUCCUGGUGUAGAGGUGAAAUUCGUAGAUAUCAGGAGGAACACCGGUGGCGAAGGCGACUUCCUGGUCCUAUACUGACGCUGAGACGCGAGAGCGUGGGGAGCAAACAGGAUUAGAUACCCUGGUAGUCCACGCCGUAAAC
This 823-nucleotide ribosomal RNA is filed under the name uncultured bacterium. Its description in RNAcentral is "bacterial SSU rRNA". It matches the Rfam family "Bacterial small subunit ribosomal RNA", at positions 8 to 807 of the family's 1533-position model. The record is from RNAcentral.